AGGAUUAACGCUGGCGGUGUGCCUAAUACAUGCAAGUCGAACGGACCUUUAUUUUUGAGAACUCCCUUAUAGGAUGUCUCAUAAAUAAUGGUUAGUGGCGGACGGGUGAGUAACACGUUGGUACCUGCCCUCUAGUGGGGAAUAACUGGCCGAAAGGUCGGCUAAUACCGCAUGUGAUCGCAAGAUCAAAGCAGCAAUGCGCUAGAGGAGGGGCCUGCGUCUGAUUAGCUAGUUGGUAGUGUAAUGGACUACCAAGGCGACGAUCAGUAGCUGGUUCGAGAGGAUGACCAGCCACACUGGGACUGAGAUACGGCCCAGACUCCUACGGGAGGCAGCAGUAAGGAAUCUUCCACAAUGGAC
RNAcentral lists this ribosomal RNA (360 nucleotides) under uncultured bacterium. Its description in RNAcentral is "SSU rRNA". It matches the Rfam family "Bacterial small subunit ribosomal RNA", at positions 26 to 376 of the family's 1533-position model. The record is from RNAcentral.